Molecule: ribosomal RNA, 451 nt
Filed under: Bacillus cereus
Lineage: Bacteria; Bacillati; Bacillota; Bacilli; Caryophanales; Bacillaceae
Description: bacterial SSU rRNA
Rfam family: Bacterial small subunit ribosomal RNA
Source: RNAcentral
UAUAAUGCAGUCGAGCGACCGAUUAGAGCUUGCUCUUAUGAAGUUAGCGGCGGACGGGUGAGUACACGUGGGUAACCUGCCCAUAAGACUGGGAUAACUCCGGGAAACCGGGGCUAAUACCGGAUAAUAUUUUGCGCCUCAUGGCGCGAAAUUGAAAGGCGGCUUCGGCUGUCACUUAUGGAUGGACCCGCGUCGCAUUAGCUAGUUGGUGAGGUAACGGCUCACCAAGGCGACGAUGCGUAGCCGACCUGAGAGGGUGAUCGGCCACACUGGGACUGAGACACGGCCCAGACUCCUACGGGAGGCAGCAGUAGGGAAUCUUCCGCAAUGGACGAAAGUCUGACGGAGCAACGCCGCGUGAGUGAUGAAGGCUUUCGGGUCGUAAAACUCUGUUGUUAGGGAAGAACAAGUGUGAGUUGAAUAAGCUCACGCCUUGACGGUACCUAACCAG